AGUACGGCUCGCAAGGAUUAAAACUCAAAGGAAUUGACGGGGACCCGCACAAGCGGUGGAUGAUGUGGAUUAAUUCGAUGCAACGCGAAAAACCUUACCUACCCUUGACAUGUCUGGAAUGCCGAAGAGAUUUGNNAGUGCUCGCAAGAGAACCGGAACACAGGUGCUGCAUGGCUGUCGUCAGCUCGUGUCGUGAGAUGUUGGGUUAAGUCCCGCAACGAGCGCAACCCUUGUCAUUAGUUGCUACG
This 248-nucleotide ribosomal RNA is filed under the name uncultured bacterium. RNAcentral's name for it is "partial 16S ribosomal RNA". It matches the Rfam family "Bacterial small subunit ribosomal RNA", at positions 879 to 1122 of the family's 1533-position model. The record is from RNAcentral.